UCAAAGAGUUCCAUUGAUUUCUUCUAUAAUGUGUGCCAAAAGAAUUAAAGGUGAGUUUUACUGGAUGAUGAAGCUUUCUAUUUUAAACUUGUCUUUCACCGCCUCAUUAGAGGCUGUGUUUUAGCCAUAAGUAAAAAACACAAUAGAUAACUUGGGGAUUUUUGUUGUUGUUGAUACUACCGCUUAUGCUAAAGUGGCUUAGUUGUCCACCCAAGAAAGAUGAUUAGUAAAAAUCAGUGAGAGAUUCACAAUGAAGUUACCAGAAAACUAAUCGGCAUAUCUAUUAAUGUAUUGGUUUAACCAGAUAUGCUUGGGGUCCUAGAUGUGUUCAUGUUUUUCUUGAUGUUUUGAUAUUCUGCGGGAUGUCGGCGAACAGUUACAAGGUGCACAUGAUCUCCUGUUAUUUUCUUGAUGUCACCUGGUGAGAUUUCUCCAGCUCCUCUUUGUGGCAUAGGUUUUCUUGAUGUCUUCACUAACUUAUUUGUUGUACUUGCUCAAGAAGGCAUUACUUCGUAAAAUGAAUAUGCUUAGUUUGCUUGUAUAUUUUGGAACUUUUGUAAUUCUCAAAAAAUAGAGUUGUGUUUAUUCUUAUCUGGUGGAUUUUAUAAUAGAAGAUACAAGAUUACAAUAGGUGUAGAGUGCCUGCACUUCAAAAUAUGAUGUUACCAGUCAGAUUGUUUCAAUUAUGUAGCGUUUGUUUAAAUAUAUUGCAUAUCACACCAGAAAUGGUUAGUACCUACUGUACUGAUUGAUCAUAUUAGGAAUUUCUCAUUCAUGAGGACUAGCUUAUAUUAGAUGUUGCACACAAUUAUUUUGUUUAUUUCAGAACGUAAGUAUUCAUGGUGUUGUAACUGGAUGUUUGGACCUGAACAUUGUUUUGAACAAAUCAUCCUAUUCAUAUUUCUGUACACGAAAAUGAAUUCAUGCCUACUUGCUUUAUUCCUUUGUCAGUUUAUUGCUGGUAUAUGUACUGAUCAAAGAGGACGCUAGAUUAUUUUCUAAGAAAAAAAAAGAAUCAAGAAAAGAGAAUAUUUAUACCCGGUUUGGUGAUUGGAAGCAAUGCCUGGACUAUAUUAGUUGAAAAUUAUAUUUAGACCCAAAGAGAGUCUUACAAGUUAUAAAUUAUUUUAUUUCAGUAUAUCAACUAUAAUUAUGUGUACUGUAGUAGUAUCUACUUUUAGUUUGUGCAUUGAUGGCUUCUGAAGAGAAUUUCCCAAUACCGGGUUCAAAGUUUGGUGGUUCAGAUCAAAGGUGAUGAAGCAAUGUGUGUCCAGUCUAUAUUUCUCAAGUGAGACAAUUAAAAUACAUUAACAAUCACAGUAAUGAUGUCUUUUGUUUCUUCUGGAUACUCAAUGAAUUGUUCCCCUGCAAAGAUGUGUUUUUCUUAUCAAUGUUAUGUUGUCUGAUCAAAAAUCAUUGUUUCAGAUUCAUCAGGCGUUAUUUCGCUAGAUUGUUACCCUAUGAAUUGGGAUCAUUGUUUUCUUAUACCUAGAAUUUUUUAUCUGAUAGGUUAUUUGUGAUAUUGCACCCAAAUCUGAUGUGCACCCGUGUUUGAAUAUGACCUUUUCAUCGAAGAAGCUAACUUGUCUUGCUAGAAAGAGUAUACCGCAGCAAAUCAUAUGCAGUCCAAAGGAUACCGAGAUUGGGACUGGUUGCCACCGGUAUUGGCCUCACACCUUGUACUGCCUUUCUCACAUCGCGCCGUUCGAUGCCUCCAUUUAUGUCAUUUUCUUGCACUGUAUGCAUCCAUGGUGCUUCUAAGCUAGGCGAGGAGACGAGGACACUUGAGGCUGCUGGGCCUUUUUGCUACAGAUUUUGGAAAUUCCUUGAUGUUGGCCAAUUAUAAUCCUUUAUAUGCAAGCCUCUAAUUUCGGUUACAUGGUUUCAUAGUGUAGUGAUUUUUCUUAAUGGAUUUUUCCCAAUCUAAUAAUAUACUAGAUCAAGCGUUAGUGUAAGGUUAGUUUGUUCAGCAGCACCAGGCUGAGAUGGAAGGCAAGCUCGCUUCUUCUGUUGUGGUCCUCAUAUAUUUUUGUUAUCAAUUCAUUUUGGAAUUUCGCAUUCGACAUUUUGGUUUAGAACUCCAGCUACAAGCAUAUCUUUCAUUUAGGUGAAUAAAGAUGUUAGAUUAGUAGCUAAAUCAGUGUGUAUAUUUGAUUUUGUUUUUGUACCCAGCAGUGUCCAAUACUAUAUUUGUCAUUCAUUGAACAGAAACGAGUGUGAGACCUACUGGCUGAUUUCCAUAUGUGAUGAAUUCGCAUGGAGUGCGGCUUCUGCCCCAGGUCAGCAACUGCUUGGCCUCCUCUGCCUCUUCUCCUAUCGCCGGAGAUGCCAUGCAGCAGCGCAGAGCGUUUGGUGCAGGUUUACAUUAUUUCUUAUCUUUCCCUCAUGAGUUCUUUAUUAUUCUCAUCCCUUUCUAUUCAAAAUUUUCUGUCAUUGUACUUGCAUAUGGGGUCAAUAAUUGUUUUUGGAGGAAAAUUUCAUGGGUUGUUUUUGGAGGAGGGCUGUGAUUACUAUAGAAGUUUGAUUUCUGAAUUUUGCAGUGCUGACAAGAAGACACGAAUCAGAGGCUAUUUUACUGUGCCUAUCCUUUUGAGUUAUUGCUGGAAGUUUAAUCACUGCCACAAGUAAAUUUACUUGAUUUCUUUUGGCUUUCAGUUUUAUCGUUUAUCUACAUAAGUGAAUUUAAUUGCUUUCUUUUGGCUUUCAGUUUCAUUGUUUAUCUGCAUAUUGUUCAUCUAAUAAUCAGUUGAUAGCAUGACACGUCGGAACCUUCAUAUGCCUUACAAUUUCAUGAAUUAUUAAUCAUUGUGCUUCCAGUAGCUACCUAACAACCAUUUUGUUGUUUUUCACUUGUGGCAUGGUAUUGGCAUGCUCCCUUUUUCUGGAUGUACACAUAUAUGGUUGUGGAAAUGAGGGUUAGGAUCUAAAAAAAAUGGCGUAUUACAUUCUAAAAAAAAUCUUAUUUCCGUUCUAAAGUGCAACAAAUAGGUUAUGUUCAUAUGAUACUUCUCUUCUUUGCUUCCGACAUCUCAUGCCUUGGCUGCAUUUUUUUCAGUUUUACUCUUUCCAUAGUCAGAUGUGCCAACGACUAUUUUCUAAGCACAUUAUUCCUUGGUGUUGGCUUCUUCACAAUUCAAGAAUGGAUGAUUAUCUUUUAGCUUGGUUUUAUUUGGGUGAUAUCAGUCUUGAAUAACUAUCAGUUAUAUUACUCUACCAAUUACCACUGUUGCUGAUGCUUUAUAUGCCUGCCAGAUUGUACAUUGGUUCCAAUAUAAAUAGCAGAUUCUAGCUUUCAAAAGAUUUGCUACAUCAAGACAACGCUAUAUAGAUUUCCUUUUGUCAUAAAAAUUCAAAGUUAAUUAGAUGGUAUCAAGGCUAUUAUAUUUAGAUUUUCCAAAUGCUGUUAGCUAAUGUAAUAUAAUUCUUCUUUAGUGGUUACUGUUACAAAUGUCAACCUGGGGGUAUGCACAUAAUUUUGCUGCUAGCCUCUUUUUCAAGCUCCGUUUCUGAUGCAUGUGGAGAUAACCACAAUUUGUUUAUUCUUGUGUAUUCCGUACAGUAUCUAAUAUUUCUUCUUUCCUGAUGCCUCAUUGUUGUGGUUCAGUAGUAUUAUCCUCCUUUCUGUACCAGUUAUUUUAAAGUUGCUUCAUGGUAUUUCUCUGCUUAAAUAUAAUUAUGUAUGAUGCAAUCUGUUUGCUUCCUUUAUGGCUAGAAAGGAUUGGAGAUCUUAUAGUGUGCUUACUUUUCUAAUAUGUUAUACCUGUUUACCAUCCUAGGUUUAUCAAAGGUUUAAUAUCGUUCAAUUCUCCUUGUUUCUUUAUAUUUUUUACCUUCAUUAGUUUAGGUCCACACAAAAAUAAUAAUUUUUCCACUCCAUGGUUGCAGCUUGAUGGAAACUGUCGUGAUCUUGGCCAGUGUCAUGCUGAGACCUAUGCUGAGGAAGCUUCACCAGCAUGAAAGCUGUGCUAUUUUCGCUACAUAUAUGUAGUGCAUUCUUCUGCUUUGCUGUCUGGAUGUAUUUCACUCUUGUUUCAGUAAUUUUCUUUAUAUGUCGAUCAGCACUACUCUCACUUAAUAUAGCGGUUUGUAAUUCGUUUAUCAGUCCACAGGUCGGGGUCGGGCGCCUAGAGUUUAUUAGCUAUUACGUGGUGUCUGAAUGUUUCUGUUUAGAAGCUUAUAAGCUGUUACGUGAUAUCAACAUUUCCCCGUAUUGGAAAGACAAAUUUAGAAGUUUUUGUAUAAUUUACAAAUAUCACUUGAAAGGAAAUGACAAACUUUUAUAAUC
This is a long non-coding RNA of Lolium rigidum, 4285 nucleotides long. RefSeq lists it as uncharacterized. NCBI's taxonomy places the organism in Eukaryota, Viridiplantae, Streptophyta, Magnoliopsida, Poales, Poaceae. The transcript has 3 exons. The record is from RefSeq and is a predicted model, not a curated record.